CCCGUCCCAGCCCCUGCCCGUCGGGUUCUAAGGAGAGCGGGAGGGACCGAGGAGGGGAUUAAGGCAGAGGAGAAGCAGCGAGCCCCGGCGGCCGGCGGCGACGACAUGUCGGGGGAGGACGUCCGCAAGGUCUCUCGCCAGGACAUACAGCUCGUCGGUCUAGAAUCUCAUCGAGCGCUAUCUCCAGCUGUAUAUGAACCAGAAAGAGCUGAUUGAUACCCUCUCCCUUGAGGCCAAGAUAGAACCCAGCUUUACUGAACUUGUUGGGCGUGCUAUGAUGGGAAGCCUUGGAAACAAUCUGUACGGGGGCGCUACCUCGUCUAUCGAAACGGUGGCAAGACCAUCUCGUUCUGAUGCUGUCUGCCAGGGUUACAAGCUAGAUUCCUAUGACUUGCUGAUCCAUUCUUUGGGGUUCUCUUCAUGAUGCAUUCUCUAAGCAUUUUUCUUUGCUCUGUUUUCUGUAAACUGGAAGAGGGCCAUAAUGAGCCCCCCAAUCGAAGAAGUUAUCCAAUCAGGCGUUGUUCCUCGAUUUGUGCAGUUUCUUACUAGGGAGGAUUUCCCCCAACUCCAGGGUCCUCAUUCAAGAGAUGAAGCAUUGUCUACCAUGAGCUCUGAAGGAAGUGGUGUGAAGGCUGAAGGUGGACCAACAGAGCAUGCAUCGGUUCCCAAAGCAUAAUAGGUUUGCAUCAUGGAUGCCGUCGACGGUGGGCAUACAUGUUGUGGUGGAAGCUCAUUGCAUAUUGUAGGUUGAACUCAUGCUUUUGUUUGUUAACUCUUGUUGCAUAUGUACACAUGUUGUGAACCCUCCUUGAAUAUGUAUGUGUGUUUUUGUGAAACUAUGUUGGAUAUGUAUGCGUGUGUGGACUUUGAACUCAUCAUCGGUUUGUUAUUGUUGUGAACUUGUAAUAUAUUGGAUAUGUAUGCAUGACCAUUUCAUUUGUGAA
Molecule: long non-coding RNA, 944 nt
Organism: Hordeum vulgare subsp. vulgare (domesticated barley)
Lineage: Eukaryota; Viridiplantae; Streptophyta; Magnoliopsida; Poales; Poaceae
Exons: 8
Source: RefSeq, a predicted model, not a curated record